UACGGGAGGCAGCAGUGGGGAAUAUUGCACAAUGGGCGCAAGCCUGAUGCAGCCAUGUCGCGUGUAUGAAGAAGGCCUUCGGGUUGUAAAGUACUUUCAGUCGUGAGGAAGGUGUUAAGGUUAAUAACCUUAGCAAUUGACGUUAGCGACAGAAGAAGCACCGGCUAACUCCGUGCCAGCAGCCGCGGUAAUACGGAGGGUGCGAGCGUUAAUCGGAAUUACUGGGCGUAAAGGGCACGCAGGCGGUUAAUUAAGUUGGAUGUGAAAUCCCCGGGCUUAACCUGGGAAUGGCAUUCAAGACUGGUUAGCUAGAGUCUUGUAGAGGGGGUAGAAUUCCAUGUGUAGCGGUGAAAUGCGUAGAGAUGUGGAGGAAUACCGGUGGCGAAGGCGGCCCCUGGACAAAGACUGACGCUCAUGUGCGAAAGCGUGGGGAGCGAAAC
Molecule: ribosomal RNA, 440 nt
Filed under: uncultured bacterium
Lineage: Bacteria
Description: bacterial SSU rRNA
Rfam family: Bacterial small subunit ribosomal RNA
Source: RNAcentral